GAAAAGGCAGCUUUUUCUAACAGGCACACAAGGCCUUACUGAUCUCUCAGCGUUUGGAUUGCUCAUUCAUUGAUCGUGCAGCGUUCUGAGACACUUCAGAUCAAGGAAGCACUGGUAUUAGUAUCUCUGCAAAGAGAUUAGAAUUCAACUGUUAGCAUGAUAUACACUUCCUAGUGUACUUGCUUCUAAAAUAUUUUGUAUCUAAUCAAUCUACAGUUAUGUAUUUCUUUAUUAGAAUCUGGACAUACAACUCUGUAUUUCUUAAGAGAGUGUACUCACCAAGAGCUUUGGAAAAUUAUUUUUAUGCAAACAACAAUGUAUUAAACUUUGUAUACACAAACUGAAGCAGGUUUUGAAAUAUUUAAAAACAUUUCAGCAGACAUGACCUUUGAAGGCCCCUUUCCAAGCAAGCUGCUCUAUCCUAUUCUGCUGUAAAAUUUACAUAGUUUAGAAUGGAAUUGGCAGCUAUGUAAUAACCCUGAGGAAAAUACCUGUACAGGAAGAGGAAUUUUUAGGCCUUUUAUUAACUCACAUCCUUAUUCAGCGACACAAAUUUGACCAAUCUGAGUUACAAUAAAUUGCUCUCAGUACCAAGACUGACUGUUCUAUAAGUGUAGGUGGGUUUUUCAUACAUACCGAAUACUGCCUCUCCUCUGCAUAACCUGCAUAAGGUCUAUUGUUGCCUGGAUAGACAAAGCCGUCGUAUUGUUGGGGUUGCUGGCUGGAAAGAUAGUCUGGUCUCCUCUGUGGCUGAGCAUACCUGGGGCUAUGCAAAAGAAAAAAAA
Molecule: long non-coding RNA, 785 nt
Filed under: Gallus gallus (chicken)
Lineage: Eukaryota; Metazoa; Chordata; Aves; Galliformes; Phasianidae
Source: RNAcentral